AAUCAAUUGUGUAACAAUAUAUUAUCUACUACCAACUACUAAUUCAUCAAUUCCCUUUUCUACUUUAAAGCAACCCUGCUAAUUCAUCAAUGUAAUUCUCAAUCUUGAGUAAUGAUCACGUCAAAAUAGAAUAGGCAAAUUUCCAUUAGUAAAAAUGCUUCAUCAAUUAUUCCAACUGAAUUACACGCUAAAACAUUAUCUUUCAACUUUCAAGAUUUGGAAUUAAAUUCACUAUAAACAGCUUAUAAAUAGCAUAAUAGUCUAUAAAAAUUCUCCACGGUUAUAUAAAAUAAAUCCCUACGUCUCAAAUCAGUCACAAAAACACACAACUAUAAAUUAAUUUCAAUGGGUGCUCCACAAUACAUAAUGAACAGAAAAGACACUCUAAGCACAUCAAAUCCAUCCCAUCCUAAAUACACAAAAUUUCCAGACAUUUUUAUACUUAAAGAAAAAUUAAUAGAAUAAAAGAGAGAGACCCUUUUCUCGCCAAGGAAGU
RNAcentral lists this unclassified non-coding RNA (496 nucleotides) under Hevea brasiliensis (rubber tree). Lineage: Eukaryota; Viridiplantae; Streptophyta; Magnoliopsida; Malpighiales; Euphorbiaceae. The record is from RNAcentral.